Molecule: non-coding RNA, 1808 nt
Organism: Labrus bergylta (ballan wrasse)
Lineage: Eukaryota; Metazoa; Chordata; Actinopteri; Labriformes; Labridae
Source: RefSeq, a predicted model, not a curated record
CGGGAUGGAGUUCUUUUUGCGGACUUUUGUUUAGUUUUCAUUUUCACCGCUGCGGAGCAAAAAAGGAGGGAGGGAGACGCGUCUGUAUCGGAGCAUAGACUGCAGCAUGAUAGAAUAAACACAUUAGCCCGGUUCUACGAUCUCCCUGCUUUGGCAGAUCGUCAGCACGUUAAUAUCCUUCACGAUCUAAGAUCGUUUUAUCGCCCACCACUACAGGAAGCUUAAAAUGGUUUCUAAAAAGGCUUUGGCCAUCGAUGGCGUUAUCACCUUCGUGGUUGUCGUGGUUGUCCUCGUUCCAUCGGUACUGCUGAUUCCUGAAAAGUUCGAAGAUACGUUCAUGAGGAAGUGCUCGGAGUUUAAAGAGAAAAAAGAAAUCUGUAAAAACGCAUGGGUUAUCUUUGAAAAAGCCUAUGUAGGGAAGGACCCGAAAACUGUCACUCCUGACAAAUACAACGAUCUCUUUGAUAAGUUCCCCUUCAAGUAUCCAUGCGAAAAAUCACUGCUGUGGAGCAAAACACGUGAUUUGGUCAAGUUGGUUAAAAAAGGAAAAUGCUACGUCCCCAUUGUACACACUAUGUUGGGAUACGUGCUGGACGGUUUGAUCUGGUGUGGGAAGAAGAACAGCCCGGGUAAGUCAUUAAUCAUAGUGACGUUAAGACGUAGCCUUUAAAUCAGAAACAGUUCAGUGUAGUAUAGUAUAAUAUGUGACCUUUACAAAUGUGCUUUUGAAUCUAUUUGUGAUAAUUUUUUUUACAAGUUUAUAUUGUGUUGGUUUAUUUAUGUCUUCUGUAAAGCACAUUGAGUUUAAAUUUGUCUGAAAAGUGAGAUACAAAUGAACUUGAAUUGAAUUGAAUACAGAUAAAAAGACACUUUGUCAUUCCUGAUAUCUCUCACAGUCAGUUGUAUCUUUUUAAAGCCUAAACUCUGUAAACUAUCACACAAACACUUAUUGUCUUUUAUUCUAGAAACUCUUUCACUGAUUUCUCUCAGUGUACGAAGCCCAAAAUCAACCCUUCUAAUUCAUUUUGGACAACGGCCUCCAUCAGGAAAUACUUUGGCGCUUGGACUCUAUGGGUAGGGUGAUGUGUUUGGAGAAUGACAAUUCUGAGCAUCGACAGAAUAAAUCCCCCCCAUGGAGUCCAGACCCUGGUGGUGGUGAAGCUGAUGACUUGAUGAGACCGGAUGGGUGACGAAUUGAUGGAUGAUGAGUCUGUGAAGACUGGCGGGGAUGGAGAGGUGGAGGGGCGCUCGAAACAUCAGCAUGAAGGAACUAAUGCACAGAAAGAAUCAUAUUUAAAAGGGGAGCAGAACGAUGAUAGGUUGAAAAUCAGGGAGGAACGCCAUGUGAUUGGUUAGAUGAGUACUGCUGACGAGACAGCCGAUUACCCAUUGACAGCCCAAAAAUGACAGCUCGAGAGUGACAGCGGAAACAUGAUAUACACAACAUGCCUGUGGAGAAGUCAAAGUGCUGCUGAAUGGAGAUGAUGAUGUCCCAUACGAUAUUGACAGUUACUUGGCAGAAUCUGAGGUACCAUAUCUUGAUAAUACCAAAGUGACGAAACUGGAUGUUAUUAUGGCUGUUAAGACGAAAGGGAGACCGGGAUGCAACGACAAAUCCCUCAAGGAAUUAAAAAAGGAGCUGAAACAAAAACAAAUCGUUUACGAUUGCAAGGAAGUGUUCAGAUCCCAGGUGGAGAAAAUAUUAAAUACCUGCUGAUGGAGUCUGUAAAUGUCAAGAGUUACUUAAAAUGUGAUUUGACUGACUCAGUUGUGAUCGCACAAUAAAAAUAAUUUGAGCAAAAAUGAAA